GGCGGCGUAGCUCAGUUGGCAGAGCGGGGGACUCAUAAGCCCUAGGUCAGAGGUUCGAUUCCUCUCGCCGCCACGA
Molecule: transfer RNA, 76 nt
Filed under: Omnitrophica bacterium RIFCSPLOWO2_12_FULL_50_11
Lineage: Bacteria; Pseudomonadati; Candidatus Omnitrophota
Description: tRNA-Met
Rfam family: tRNA
About the family: Transfer RNA (tRNA) molecules are approximately 80 nucleotides in length. Their secondary structure includes four short double-helical elements and three loops (D, anti-codon, and T loops).
Source: RNAcentral